Molecule: ribosomal RNA, 529 nt
Filed under: uncultured Planctomycetota bacterium
Lineage: Bacteria; Pseudomonadati; Planctomycetota
Description: bacterial SSU rRNA
Rfam family: Bacterial small subunit ribosomal RNA
Source: RNAcentral
CAGCAGCCGCGGUAAUACGAAGGUCCCAAGCGUUGUUCGGAUUUACUGGGCGUAAAGGGUCUGUAGGCGGCAUGGUAAGUCAGGUGUGAAAUCCCGGGGCUCAACCCCGGAACUGCAUCCGAUACUGCCGUGCUAGAGUAUUGGAGGGGAGUCUGGAAUUCUCGGUGAGCAGGUGAAAUGCGUAGAUAUCGAGAGGAACACUAGUGGCGAAGGCGAGGCUCUGGACAAUGACUGACGCUGAGAGACGAAGGCCAGGGUAGCGAAAAGGAUUAGAUACCCUUGUAGUCCUGGCAGUAAACGGUGCACGCUUGGUGUGGGAGGAUUCGACCCCUUCCGUGCCGGAGCUAACGCGUUAAGCGUGCCGCCUGGGGAGUACGGCCGCAAGGCUAAAACUCAAAGAAAUUGACGGGGACCCGCACAAGCGGUGGAGCAUGUGGCUUAAUUCGAUGCAACGCGAAGAACCUUACCUGGGCUUGACAUGUUGGUCGUAGUCCCGCGAAAGCGGGACGUCAGUUCGGCUGGACCAUCA